GACGAACGCUGGCGGCGUGCUUAACACAUGCAAGUCGAACGGAAAGGCCCUGCUUUUGUGGGGUGCUCGAGUGGCGAACGGGUGAGUAACACGUGAGUAACCUGCCCUUGACUUUGGGAUAACUUCAGGAAACUGGGGCUAAUACCGGAUAGGAGCUCCUGCUGCAUGGUGGGGGUUGGAAAGUUUCGGCGGUUGGGGAUGGACUCGCGGCUUAUCAGCUUGUUGGUGGGGUAGUGGCUUACCAAGGCUUUGACGGGUAGCCGGCCUGAGAGGGUGACCGGCCACAUUGGGACUGAGAUACGGCCCAGACUCCUACGGGAGGCAGCAGUGGGGAAUAUUGCACAAUGGGCGGAAGCCUGAUGCAGCAACGCCGCGUGCGGGAUGACGGCCUUCGGGUUGUAAACCGCUUUCGCCUGUGACGAAGCGUGAGUGACGGUAAUGGGUAGAGAAGCACCGGCUAACUACGUGCCAGCAGCCGCGGUGAUACGUAGGGUGCGAGCGUUGUCCGGAUUUAUUGGGCGUAAAGGGCUCGUAGGUGGUUGAUCGCGUCGGAAGUGUAAUCUUGGGGCUUAACCCUGAGCGUGCUUUCGAUACGGGUUGACUUGAGGAAGGUAGGGGAGAAUGGAAUUCCUGGUGGAGCGGUGGAAUGCGCAGAUAUCAGGAGGAACACCAGUGGCGAAGGCGGUUCUCUGGGCCUUUCCUGACGCUGAGGAGCGAAAGCGUGGGGAGCGAACAGGCUUAGAUACCCUGGUAGUCCACGCUGUAAACGGUGGGUACUAGGUGUGGGGUCCAUUCCACGGGUUCCGUGCCGUAGCUAACGCUUUAAGUACCCCGCCUGGGGAGUACGGCCGCAAGGCUAAGACUCAAAGGAAUUGACGGGGCCCCGCACAAGCGGCGGAGCAUGCGGAUUAAUUCGAUGCAACGCGUAGAACCUUACCUGGGUUUGACAUGGAUCGGGAGUGCUCAGAGAUGGGUGUGCCUCUUUUGGGGUCGGUUCACAGGUGGUGCAUGGCUGUCGUCAGCUCGUGUCGUGAGAUGUUGGGUUAAGUCCCGCAACGAGCGCAACCCUUGUUCACUGUUGCCAGCACGUUAUGGUGGGGACUCAGUGGAGACCGCCGGGGUCAACUCGGAGGAAGGUGGGGAUGACGUCAAGUCAUCAUGCCCCUUAUGUCCAGGGCUUCACGCAUGCUACAAUGGCUGGUACAGAGAGUGGCGAGCCUGUGAGGGUGAGCGAAUCUCGGAAAGCCGGUCUCAGUUCGGAUUGGGGUCUGCAACUCGACCUCAUGAAGUCGGAGUCGCUAGUAAUCGCAGAUCAGCAACGCUGCGGUGAAUACGUUCCCGGGGCU
RNAcentral lists this ribosomal RNA (1346 nucleotides) under uncultured bacterium. RNAcentral describes it as "partial 16S ribosomal RNA". It matches the Rfam family "Bacterial small subunit ribosomal RNA", at positions 28 to 1381 of the family's 1533-position model. The record is from RNAcentral.